Molecule: ribosomal RNA, 571 nt
Filed under: uncultured bacterium
Lineage: Bacteria
Description: bacterial SSU rRNA
Rfam family: Bacterial small subunit ribosomal RNA
Source: RNAcentral
GUUUGAUCAUGGCUCAGAUUGAACGCUGGCGGCAUGCCUUACACAUGCAAGUCGAACGGUAACAGGUUAAGCUGACGAGUGGCGAACGGGUGAGUAAUAUAUCGGAACGUGCCCAGUCGUGGGGGAUAACUGCUCGAAAGAGCAGCUAAUACCGCAUACGACCUGAGGGUGAAAGCGGGGGAUCGCAAGACCUCGCGCGAUUGGAGCGGCCGAUAUCAGAUUAGCUAGUUGGCGGGGUAAAAGCCCACCAAGGCGACGAUCUGUAGCUGGUCUGAGAGGACGACCAGCCACACCGGGACUGAGACACGGCCCAGACUCCUACGGGAGGCAGCAGUGGGGAAUUUUGGACAAUGGACGCAAGUCUGAUCCAGCCAUGCCGCGUGUGGGAAGAAGGCCUUCCGGUUGUAAACCACUUUUGUCAGGGAAGAAACGGCUCGGGUUAAUACCUUGGGCUAAUGACGGUACCUGAAGAAUAAGCACCGGCUAACUACGUGCCAGCAGCCGCGGUAAUACGUAGGGUGCAAGCGUUAAUCGGAAUUACUGGGCGUUAAACGUUCGCAGCGGUUAUGCC